RNAcentral lists this small nuclear RNA (100 nucleotides) under Procavia capensis (Cape rock hyrax). The record is from RNAcentral. Lineage: Eukaryota; Metazoa; Chordata; Mammalia; Hyracoidea; Procaviidae.
CUGCUUCAGCAGCACAUAUACUAAAAUUGAAAGGAUACAAAGGUUAGUAUGGCCCCUGUCCAGGGAUGACAUGCAAAUUCAUUAAGUAUGCCAUGUUUUU